CCAGCACCCGAGUGGUCGGGACGAUUAUUGGGCCUAAAGCAUCCGUAGCCGGUUUUACAAGUCCUCCGUUAAAUCCAACUGCUUAACAGGAUGGGCCGCGGAGGAUACUAUAAGACUAGGAGGCAGGAGAGGCAAGCGGUACUCAGUGGUAGGGGUAAAAUCCGUUGAUCCAUUGAAGACCACCAGUGGCGAAGGCGGCUUGCCAGAAUGCGCUCGACGGUGAGGGAUGAAAGCUGGGGGAGCAAACCGGAUUAGAUACCCGGGUAGUCCCAGCUGUAAACGAUGCAGACUCGGUGAUGGACCAGCUUCAUGCUAGUCCAGUGCCGCAGGGAAGCCGUUAAGUCUGCCGCCUGGGUAGUACGGUCGCAAGACUG
Molecule: ribosomal RNA, 374 nt
Filed under: uncultured organism
Description: bacterial SSU rRNA
Rfam family: Archaeal small subunit ribosomal RNA
Source: RNAcentral